AUUGAACGCUGGCGGCAUGCCUUACACAUGCAAGUCGAACGGCAGCACGGGAGCAAUCCUGGUGGCGAGUGGCGAACGGGUGAGUAAUAUAUCGGAACGUGCCCAGUCGUGGGGGAUAACUACUCGAAAGAGUAGCUAAUACCGCAUACGAUCUACGGAUGAAAGCGGGGGAUCGCAAGACCUCGCGCGAUUGGAGCGGCCGAUAUCAGAUUAGGUAGUUGGUAGGGUAAAGCCUACCAAGCCUGCGAUCUGUAGCUGGUCUGAGAGGACGACCAGCCACACUGGAACUGAGACACGGUCCAGACUCCUACGGGAGGCAGCAGUGGGGAAUUUGGACAAUGGGCGCAAGCCUGAUCCAGCAAUGCCGCGUGCAGGACGAAGGCCUUCGGGUUGUAAACUGCUUUGUACGGAGCGAAAAGGUCUCUACUAAUACUAGGGGCUCAUGACGGUACCGUAAGAAUAAGCACCGGCUAACUACGUGCCAGA
This 486-nucleotide ribosomal RNA is filed under the name uncultured bacterium. RNAcentral's name for it is "bacterial SSU rRNA". It matches the Rfam family "Bacterial small subunit ribosomal RNA", at positions 30 to 512 of the family's 1533-position model. The record is from RNAcentral.